AUACGGAAGAUGCGAGCGUUAUCCGGAUUUAUUGGGUUUAAAGGGAGCGUAGGCGGAUUGUUAAGUCAGCGGUCAAAUGUCGGUGCCCAACAUCGUCCUUCCGUUGAAACUGGCAGUCUUGAAUGCACACAGGGAAGGUGGAAUUCGUCGUGUAGCGGUGAAAUGCUUAGAUAUGACGAGGAACUCCGAUCGCGAAGGCAUCCUUCUGGAGUGCGAUUUACGCUGAGGCUCGAAAGCGCGGGUAUCAAACAGGAUUAGAUACCCUGGUAGUCCGCGCCGUAAACGAUGGAUGCUCGUCAUUGUGGCAUUAGUUUCAGUGACCAAGCGAAAGCAUUAAGCAUCCCACCUGGGGAGUACGCCGGCAACGGUGAAACUCAAAGGAAUUGACGGGG
RNAcentral lists this ribosomal RNA (392 nucleotides) under uncultured bacterium. Its description in RNAcentral is "partial 16S ribosomal RNA". It matches the Rfam family "Bacterial small subunit ribosomal RNA", at positions 523 to 918 of the family's 1533-position model. The record is from RNAcentral.